ACGGGUGAGUAACACGUGAGUAACCUGCCCCUUACUUUUCUGGAUAACUGCUCGAAAGGGUAGCUAAUACGGGAUAUUCUGGCCUUCUCGCAUGGGUUGGUUUGGAAAGGUUAUUUUUUUCUGGUAAGGGAUGGGCUCGCGGCCUAUCAGCUUGUUGGUGGGGUGAUGGCCUACCAAGGCUUUGACGGGUAGCCGGCCUGAGAGGGUGGACGGUCACACUGGGACUGAGAUACGGCCCAGACUCCUACGGGAGGCAGCAGUGGGGAAUAUUGCACAAUGGGCGCAAGCCUGAUGCAGCGACGCCGCGUGAGGGAUGAAGGCCUUCGGGUUGUAAACCUCUUUCGUCAGGGAACAAGGCAUCACUUUUGGUGGUGUUGAGGGUACCUGGAUAAAAAAGCGCCGGCUAACUACGUGCCAGCAGCCGCGGGUAAAUACGUAGGGCGCAAGCGUUGUCCGGGAUUAUUGGGCGUAAAGAGCUUCGUAGGGCGGCUGGGUCACGUCUGUCCUGAAAACUUCCCGGCUUCAACCCGGGGGCUUGAGGUGGGUAAGGGCCCGCCUAUAUGCCAGUUAGGGUGUAACAGAUACUUCACUGGAUAAACGGAUGAAUGCCUGGAAUACAGGUAGAAACACCCUUGGAGACUCCGAGUUUAAUGAGGCUUUUUAGACGAUGGAGGUUGAACCCCUUGGCCCAUCCAACUUGAUCUAUAACCUGGAUCCUUUACCGGCCGUUAGAG
This 734-nucleotide ribosomal RNA is filed under the name uncultured bacterium. RNAcentral's name for it is "bacterial SSU rRNA". It matches the Rfam family "Bacterial small subunit ribosomal RNA", at positions 102 to 845 of the family's 1533-position model. The record is from RNAcentral.